CUUUUUGCUGUGUGUGUGUGUGUGUGUGUGUGUGUGUGUGUGUGUGUGUGUGUAUCACUACUAGGACUUGAACUCAGAACCUCAAGGUCUUGAUUGGCUUUUCCCAUUCAAUGCUGCCACUCUUCCACUUGAGCCACACCUCCACUUCUAGCUUUUAUUCCUGAUUUUUCUGAUUGGGUUAGCUUAAAUGUAUGAUCUUCAGAUCUCACAUCUUGACUGACUAAGAUUACAGGCAGGAGUCACUGGCACCCAGUUUCUGCUACUGUUUAUCACCAAUAGCAUGCCUGGGGCCUGAGCAGCCUCCCUAGUGGGGAAAGGAUGAAUAGAGAAGACUACUGGAGAGAGAAUAAGCUCUUCUCCAACUUGAAGCUGAAGUUAUGUUUUACUUGCUCACCCAACUAACAACCAGGCAAAUAUCCAGGCCUGGUGUGAAAACCAUUCAUGGCGGAUUCAAUAAGUAUAGGCACUGACUCAGACAGGGCUAGUCCUUAAGAAUUGGAUGCAACUGUAGACAUUUUUCCUUCAUCAUUUUAAGCAUGGAAUGGGACAUGCAUCUCCUGUGUUUUGAGUUCCAUUGUGUGCCUGAAAUCAUACAUAAGAAAUGAACACAAUUCUGAGCAUUUGUUUAUAUUAUCUUAAAAAAAAAUCUACUCUAGCGUUUAUUGACUUGCCAAGGGUUUACAAGGUUUAAAGAGUGCAAAGAGAGAGGUACUUGGGGAAGGACUGGAGCCAACAGAGUACAAGAAGCUUUGGGAUGAGGAGGGAGACAGAGGAUAUGGGCAAGUGAAGCAGUUGGCAAUGGAGAGAAAUGAGCAAAUACAGUCAUUAUAGUCAAUUGACAUACAUAGGUGGAAAUGGAACUGGGUAAAUUGAGGAGAUGGGGGAGAAUGAUGAAAGGGUGGCAUUGGCCAAAAUGCAUUGUAUUUAAUGUUGAACUGAAAUCCCCUUGUGUAGCUACUUAAAGAGAUAUAUUUUUUUUUUUAAAAAAAAGAAAGAAACACUAUGAACCAAGUAGAAGCACUCACAGAGACCCCACACCACGCCAGUGAAAAAGGAAUACAACAGUAAUUCCUGAAGUGAAAGGUAUAGGAGAGAAUCAAUUAAAUGUUGGAACCACAUUUAGCCAUGUUUUGUUGACACUUCACCUCUGUUAGAAUGGCUCAUUCUCUCUGGCUUAGUUGUAAUAAGUAUGUUGAUGGAUGAAUGAGGAAAUGGCCAAGAGGUGUGUACCUUUCAUAAUGGUUUGAAAAUGAAAUGAGACAAUGUGUAUUUAAAAACACUCUGUGCUGUAUAACAUUCUCUUGAAUCUAGUUGAAUCUAAGGUGCACGGGGGCGGGGGGUGGGAGGGGGGGAGGUGUCCUCUAACUUAUGGAA
Perognathus longimembris pacificus (Pacific pocket mouse) is the source of this 1374-nucleotide long non-coding RNA. RefSeq lists it as uncharacterized. The record is from RefSeq and is a predicted model, not a curated record. Lineage: Eukaryota; Metazoa; Chordata; Mammalia; Rodentia; Heteromyidae. The transcript is spliced from 3 exons.